This is a long non-coding RNA of Sander lucioperca (pikeperch), 258 nucleotides long. RefSeq lists it as uncharacterized. The transcript has 3 exons. NCBI's taxonomy places the organism in Eukaryota, Metazoa, Chordata, Actinopteri, Perciformes, Percidae. The record is from RefSeq and is a predicted model, not a curated record.
GUAACACAACCCAUCUUUGUGUGUGUGAGUCGAGGUGAGCUGGCUGCAGUACUAUCAUGAACAUGCAGACGGGAGAAAAGAAAAAAACAUGGGACUCAAGUCGUUUUAGGGGAGAGAACAUGACAUUCUGGCCGAGGAGUCACCCUGUCAUGUUUCCACAUCUCCAGACAGACCACUGGAGCAAAAUGAAAACAAUGGUUCCAGUUUAUUUUGCAUCAGUUCCAGCUGCCUUGUUGAAGGACAGAGGUUUGUGAAAAU